RNAcentral lists this unclassified non-coding RNA (202 nucleotides) under uncultured Russula. RNAcentral describes it as "sequence contains ITS2". Lineage: Eukaryota; Fungi; Basidiomycota; Agaricomycetes; Russulales; Russulaceae. The record is from RNAcentral.
AUACUCUCAACCUUCUUGGUUGCUUUGACCAGGAAGGCUUGGACUUUGGAGGUUUUCCUUGCUGGCCUCUUUUUGAAGCCAGCUCCUCCUAAAUGAAUUGGUGGGGUCCACUUUGGUGAUCCUUGACGUGAUAAGGAUUUCUUCUACGUCUUGGGUUUCGCAGUGUAACCGCUGAACUUAAGCAUAUCAAUAAGCGGAGGCU